AUCUUCAGGGCGGGGUGAAAGUCCCCACCGGCGGUACAGUCCGCGAGCUCCCAGGAGCAUGAACCGGUGCGAUUCCGGUACCGACAGUCACAGUCUGGAUGGAAGAAGAA
RNAcentral lists this non-coding RNA (110 nucleotides) under bovine gut metagenome. RNAcentral describes it as "FMN riboswitch (RFN element)". It matches the Rfam family "FMN riboswitch aptamer (RFN element)". From Rfam's summary of the family: The RFN element is a highly conserved domain that is found frequently in the 5'-untranslated regions of prokaryotic mRNAs that encode for flavin mononucleotide (FMN) biosynthesis and transport proteins. The record is from RNAcentral.